AUACCUAAAAGCUAGCCUAAAAUUAGUCCUAUAAUGACACUUAAAAACUCACUAUAAAUUUAAAUAAAUCAUUUUCUUCCCUAGUACGGGCGACAAAAAAGGAAAAAGAGCAACAGAAAAAGUACCGCAAGGGAACGCUGAAAAAGAAAUGAAAUAAACCAUUUAAGUUAAGAAUAGCAGAGCUAACAUCUCGUACCUUUUGCAUCAUGAUUUAGCAAGAAAAAUACAAGCAAAGAGCCCUUUAGUUUGUAACCCCGAAACUAAGCGAGCUACUCCAAGACAGCCUAUUAAGGGCAAACCCGUCUCUGUGGCAAAAGAGUGGGAUGAUCUUUGAGUAGAGGUGAUAAACCUACCGAGCAUAGUAAUAGCUGGUUGCCUGUGAAAUGAAUAGAAGUUCAGCUUUUUAAAACUUCCCCCCUCUUUUAUGCAAGAGCUAAAAUUGAUUAAGGAAAUUAAAAAAGUUAAUCAGAAGGGGUACAGCCCUUCCGAUAAAAGAAACAACUUUAGUAGGUGCUAAAAGAACAUA
This 526-nucleotide ribosomal RNA is filed under the name Muraenolepis microps (smalleye moray cod). Its description in RNAcentral is "partial 16S ribosomal RNA". The stretch from base 176 to 526 matches the Rfam family "Bacterial large subunit ribosomal RNA", at positions 569 to 1050 of the family's 2925-position model. The record is from RNAcentral. Lineage: Eukaryota; Metazoa; Chordata; Actinopteri; Gadiformes; Muraenolepididae.